RNAcentral lists this long non-coding RNA (881 nucleotides) under Homo sapiens (human). RNAcentral describes it as "HSALNT0341089". Lineage: Eukaryota; Metazoa; Chordata; Mammalia; Primates; Hominidae. The record is from RNAcentral.
UUGUGCCCAGAGUUUGAUUUUCCACAGACCAGGUAGAGGCCAAGAGCCUCUCACAGACUCUGCAGCAGGGUUGCUAUGAUUAACUCUUAAGUACUCCACAACUACACGCUUUUGAAACUGGCGUUGGCAUAGCGUUAGUUCUGUGCAGGGCGGACGCAGCAGGACAGAAUCUCCCUGGGCAUCUUUUCGGAGCAUCAAUUUUACUGCAAAAUUUUGAAAAAACAAAUUUAAUUGAUUUCCAAGGUUUGUCAAGGAGGACAGAAACUCAGAGCACCCUGCACUUGGGGAUCGGCACUAGGAGCUGCUCUCUGGAUGGGGAGAUGGGAGCUAGCAGCUCACAAUGGGGUCACAAGACAGGAGUGUUAUUGGGAGAAUCCUGUUUUGUUGACAAAUACUGAGAUCAUCCAACUCACCAGGCAAAGUUGACUUGUGUAAGUGAUCUUCAGAUAUGAAAAGUGUGGAACCCAGCUGCUCCUCCUCAGAUAGGCGACAUGACAAUUGUAGGCCUGGAGGGAGAUGAGUUGACAACAUCCCUUCCCUAUAACCACUUGUUGGAUCUGAUCUCACAUACACAGACUCACUCCAAAGACUGACCUGGGUGUCUGCUUCUCAGCUUCAUUAACAGUGGGUGCUCACAAGUCUAGUAACAGGAUCUUCUACACUGUAGCUGCUUCCAGUGUGAGCCAGACAAAUGUACUGAAUAUAGGCCUCAGAGGUGAUCCCACCACCUUCACAGCAAUGGUCCUUCCCCAGGAGCUUCCCCUGAGAAACGGGCCAUCCAGACCAUACUGCUGCUGAAUAAUGUCUCAUUGGAAAUCUCAACAUUCUUCAUUUAGAACACCACCGCCAAUAUCUACCAUAUGCCGGGAUUAUUGUGCAGG